UAAUCCAAAUAUCCAAAUAAUUCUAAUGAAAAUAUGCAAAAAAAAUAAAUUCUCAGACCUUGGCUGCAUUCAAGGUAGGAACUGGGGUUUGGGCAUUCAGUGAGAACAAGAGACAUAACAUUACUCCAUGAGUGAAAAUCUUCACCCACUGCAGUGUACACACUCUCCAGCUUUGGAUUUUCACGAUCCUUCAAGAAAAUACCUUCCUUUGAGUGAAAAUAUUGCAUAUGUUCGCAAUGAGGGUGAAAAUGUUAUCAGUGAACUAAUAAAACAAAAACCGUACAACACUUUCACAGCGGAAGCGAAAAUGAGAGAGAGAAAAAUUACUCUCAAUACUCAC
Molecule: long non-coding RNA, 340 nt
Filed under: Glycine max (soybean)
Lineage: Eukaryota; Viridiplantae; Streptophyta; Magnoliopsida; Fabales; Fabaceae
Description: long non-coding RNA (GMAX_LNC004230)
Source: RNAcentral